AUACGUAGGGUGCAAGCGUUAAUCGGAAUUACUGGGCGUAAAGCGUGCGCAGGCGGUUUUGGAAGACAGUGGUGAAAUCCCCGGGCUCAACCUGGGAACUGCCAUUGUGACUGCAAGGCUGGAGUGCGGCAGAGGGGGAUGGAAUUCAGCGUGUAGCAGUGAAAUGCGUAGAUAUGCGGAGGAACACCGAUGGCGAAGGCAAUCCCCUGGGCCUGCACUGACGCUCAUGCACGAAAGCGUGGGGAGCAAACAGGAUUAGAUACCCUGGUAGUCCACGCCCUAAACGAUGUCAACUGGUUGUUGGGGAUUUAUUUUCUCAGUAACGAAGCUAACGCGUGAAGUUGACCGCCUGGGGAGUACGGCCGCAAGGUUAAAACUCAAAUGAAUUGACGGGG
This 395-nucleotide ribosomal RNA is filed under the name uncultured bacterium. RNAcentral describes it as "partial 16S ribosomal RNA". It matches the Rfam family "Bacterial small subunit ribosomal RNA", at positions 523 to 918 of the family's 1533-position model. The record is from RNAcentral.